This 23-nucleotide non-coding RNA is filed under the name Arabidopsis thaliana (thale cress). The record is from RNAcentral. Lineage: Eukaryota; Viridiplantae; Streptophyta; Magnoliopsida; Brassicales; Brassicaceae.
UAUACGGAAUAUUCUAGCUUUGC